UUGGAACAACCACUGAGCUACGGAGA
This 26-nucleotide non-coding RNA is filed under the name Homo sapiens (human). The record is from RNAcentral. Lineage: Eukaryota; Metazoa; Chordata; Mammalia; Primates; Hominidae.